This 229-nucleotide ribosomal RNA is filed under the name uncultured bacterium. Its description in RNAcentral is "partial 16S ribosomal RNA". It matches the Rfam family "Bacterial small subunit ribosomal RNA", at positions 568 to 796 of the family's 1533-position model. The record is from RNAcentral.
UGCGUAGGCGGAAUAAUAAGUCAGUGGUGAAAUCUCUCGGCUCAACCGGGAAACUGCCAUUGAUACUGUUAUUCUUGAGUACAGUUGAAGUGGGCGGAAUGUGUCAUGUAGCGGUGAAAUGCUUAGAUAUGACACAGAACACCGAUAGCGAAGGCAGCUCACUAAGCUGUAACUGACGCUCAUGCACGAAAGCGUGGGGAUCAAACAGGAUUAGAUACCCUGGUAGUCC